CAUUGACAAUGAACUACAACCAUUGUCCGCCUGGGAACUACGAGCACCAGCUUAAAACCCAAAGGACUUGGCGGUGCUUUAGAUCCACCUAGAGGAGCCUGUUCUAGAACCGAUAACCCCCGUUAAACCUCACCCUUCCUUGUUUAUCCCGCCUAUAUACCACCGUCGUCAGCUUACCCUGCGAAGACCCAAUAGUAAGCACAAUUGGCACAGCCCAAAACGUCAGGUCGAGGUGUAGCGUAUGGAAGGGGAAGAAAUGGGCUACAUUCCCUGCCCCAGGGAAUCACGAACGAUACUCUGAAAUAAGUAUCUAAAGGAGGAUUUAGCAGUAAGCAGAAAAUAGAGCGUUCCGCUGAAACCGGCCCUGAAGCGCGC
RNAcentral lists this ribosomal RNA (375 nucleotides) under Siganus vulpinus (foxface). RNAcentral's name for it is "partial 12S ribosomal RNA". It matches the Rfam family "Bacterial small subunit ribosomal RNA", at positions 801 to 1384 of the family's 1533-position model. The record is from RNAcentral. Lineage: Eukaryota; Metazoa; Chordata; Actinopteri; Siganidae.